This is a long non-coding RNA of Maniola jurtina (meadow brown), 129 nucleotides long. RefSeq lists it as uncharacterized. The record is from RefSeq and is a predicted model, not a curated record. NCBI's taxonomy places the organism in Eukaryota, Metazoa, Arthropoda, Insecta, Lepidoptera, Nymphalidae. The transcript is spliced from 3 exons.
AUAUAGUGGUUUUUGCUUUGUGGAAUUACAGACACAACUGUAAAAGAUAGACUUUUACGUACAAAGGAUUUAACAUUAGAUAAAGCUAUUAAUAUAUGUCGUAUAUCCCAAGAGACAAGAAUGCACUUA